UUAGAUGUUGUGAUUUGUCCAAUUUAUUUCAGAAAAGGCUGCAUUCAGAAUGGAAAAAUGGAAACAGUAUUUAGGGGUAUUCCAGCACGCUGAAAUAAUGAGUAUACAAGAUAUGACAAAAAUAUUGAGCUUGACAUAUGGCCUGGGGGGUAUUGCAUAAGAGUAGAAUUAAGAAAGCCAGGAUAACAGAACAAUCGCGGCUUGACCUAGUUUAAUCAGUGCAUCCUGGCUCAAUCCGUUGCACGUUUGCUAAACCAGGAUGAGACCGCGCGGAUAUGUCAAACCAGGUGUAUAUAGUUUGGAUAAAUGCCCGUUCACGGCAUUCUUAAAAAGAUCACGAAAUCGAUCACAGAAUCACCGAUGGAAAAAUGGAAAUCACCCGUGCGGCAUACUUUUCACCAACUGAACAACAGCUUCUUAUGGAAACUUAUGAAGAAGUAAAGCAUAUAAUAUGUAAAAAAUGCAAUACAGCUGCCGUAAUAAAGCAAAGAGAGAAUGCCUGGCAAACAAUAGCGGACCGAUUGAAUGCAACAAACACGUCUGGCCAAAAAGGACUUGGCAGCAAGUCAAUAUUAAAUACAAGAAUAUUUUGCAGGCUGGUAAAUGACUUGUUUGCGGAGAACAUGGGUGACAUGUUUGCUGACAUUUUAUUGUCUGUGCUGAUUUUAGCAAUAAAAAAAAGUCAUAUAUCUGGUACGGGGGGUGGCCCUCCAACCCAAGACUUCACCACAGCAGAGGAGCUGGCCCUGGACUUAAAUACAGGGAAGCCAGUGAUUGAAGGGAUCCAGGGAGGGACAGCCACUGACAGAGUAGUCUGUCAGCCAUAGCAGAGAUGGGCUAACUAAUGUCAAUGUAAUCCUGCAUAUGGUAGGUUGAUGUAAAAAUGAAUAAAGAAUGAAACAAGAAAAUACA
Esox lucius (northern pike) is the source of this 912-nucleotide long non-coding RNA. RefSeq lists it as uncharacterized. The record is from RefSeq and is a predicted model, not a curated record. The transcript has 2 exons. NCBI's taxonomy places the organism in Eukaryota, Metazoa, Chordata, Actinopteri, Esociformes, Esocidae.